CUGCUUUCAGUUUCCUAGUGGAAAGAAAAAGUGGAGUAUAAGUAAUAAUAAUAAUAAUAAUAAUGAUAAUAAGCUCAAUGGAGGCAACACCAUCAAGGCCAUAAACACCUGGGCCAUACCUGUCAUAAGAUAUACUGCUGGCAUUAUAUCUUAUGACAGGUAUGGCCCAGGUGUUUAAUAAAGAAUUUUUAGAUGAGUAAGAGGGGCAUUAGUAGUGUCUCAGAAUAAAGGAUGAAGAA
Molecule: long non-coding RNA, 239 nt
Filed under: Anolis carolinensis (green anole)
Lineage: Eukaryota; Metazoa; Chordata; Lepidosauria; Squamata; Anolidae
Description: lncRNA (ENSACAG00000040362.1)
Source: RNAcentral